AUGAACGCUGGCGGUAUGCCUAAUACAUGCAAGUCGAACGCAUUCUCGUUUUCGAUUGAAGGUGCUUGCACUAGAUUGAAAAACAUUGGAAUGAGUGGCGGACGGGUGAGUAACACGUGGGUAACCUGCCCAAAAGUGGGGGAUAACAUUUGGAAACAAAUGCUAAUACCGCAUAAUAGUUAGAACCGCAUGGUUCUAAUUUGAAAGAUGGUUUCGGCUAUCACUUUUGGAUGGACCCGCGGCGUAUUAGUUAGUUGGUGAGGUAAUGGCUCACCAAGACAAUGAUACGUAGCCGAACUGAGAGGUUGAUCGGCCACAAUGGGACUGAGACACGGCCCAUACUCCUACGGGAGGCAGCAGUAGGGAAUCUUCCACAAUGGGCGAAAGCCUGAUGGAGCAAUACCGCGUGAGUGAAGAAGGGUUUCGGCUCGUAAAACUCUGUUGUUGGAGAAGAACGUAUGUGAUAGUAACUGAUCAUGUAGUGACGGUAUCCAACCAGAAAGCCACGGCUAACUACGUGCCAGCAGCCGCGGUAAU
Molecule: ribosomal RNA, 537 nt
Filed under: uncultured bacterium
Lineage: Bacteria
Description: bacterial SSU rRNA
Rfam family: Bacterial small subunit ribosomal RNA
Source: RNAcentral